UACGUAGGGUGCGAGCGUUGUCCGGAAUAUUGGGCGUAAAGAGCUUGUAGGUGGUUUGUCGCGUCUGCUGUGAAAAUCCGAGGCUCAACCUCGGACUUGCAGUGGGUACGGGCAGACUAGAGUGUGGUAGGGGAGACUGGAAUUCCUGGUGUAGCGGUGGAAUGCGCAGAUAUCAGGAGGAACACCGAUGGCGAAGGCAGGUCUCUGGGCCAUUACUGACACUGAGA
This 227-nucleotide ribosomal RNA is filed under the name uncultured bacterium. Its description in RNAcentral is "partial 16S ribosomal RNA". It matches the Rfam family "Bacterial small subunit ribosomal RNA", at positions 524 to 751 of the family's 1533-position model. The record is from RNAcentral.